CUUGAUUUGUCGAGAGAAAAGAGUUACAAAAUGGUGUUUCUGUCUUUGCCAAUUCUUCAUGAUUAGAGCCAGUUAUUGUGCUGCAAGAUUCAUGUAGGAAUAAUAAAAGGAAUCAGCAUGCAUGAGACAAAUUCACAAGGUGAUGAAGGUAUGUAGCUAAUGCAGACAUGAUUCAAGAAUAUGCUUUCCACAUUUAAAGAUGGCAAUCCUGUACCUGAAAUAGUCAUUAGAAGGUGAAGUUCUGGUGAUGCCAUCAGGAGCAAUUUCAUUCCUAUCAACUUCACUCAUUGAUCUUUAUCUUGGUACAGUGGUUAUCAAGUAAAAGUGCCAAAACGGCAGAGAUUUCAUCGUAUAUAAUCUUAUACAAAUAUUUUAGCUACAGGAGAUACAAGGAGGAUUAAGCAGAGAAAGUCAAAGAUUAUGAAACUGUUAGGGACUUGGGUAUUAUGGGGUGCUCAAAGUCGCACAUCGAGUAGUAUGGGAUGUUUGAUAUUGUAUAUAAGGAGAGUGGUUCUUCCCCCUUAACAGCUAGCUUUUAAGGUGUGGUUUUCCACUUUCCUUAGAUACUUAACAAUGGUAUCAGAGCGUGGUUCUCGGCGCCAUGGAAAGGGUUACCUAUAGGUUGGAUUAAGGUGAAUACCGAAUACUGAUAGACCGUAGCAAAGUGGCUACCGGUGUCGAUAGAGUGAAUCCUAGUGGCAUAUACACAUUAAAAAGUUCUCUCUAAUUUUCCAACUACCUCUUUUUCCCAUUUGGUAUUUAAUAUUUAUGCUGUUCAUAUUGUAAACAUUAUUUGAUCUUUGUUUGGUAAGUAUUAAGCUCGAUGGAGUGUAAGCUUGAAAACACUUCAUCAGAAGUUGUUUGUUUUACUUUCUUGGAAGAAGAGUCUUCGGGUUAAAGUGAAACACUGUUGUAGUUGUACUAGCUUAGCUUCUUGGUGGUGUUGUUUGACUGAAAUUCUAUUAUUUAACCUAAGGCUGAAAUUUGUAUG
Molecule: long non-coding RNA, 991 nt
Organism: Arachis stenosperma
Lineage: Eukaryota; Viridiplantae; Streptophyta; Magnoliopsida; Fabales; Fabaceae
Exons: 4
Source: RefSeq, a predicted model, not a curated record